GAAUCGACACGCCAUUUGUAAACAUCGAAGGUCGCGGAGAAAAUGAAACUACCAAAAACAAUUAUUUGAUGAUUUUUUUCGAUUGUAUAAAGAAUGACAGUUAGCGAAUCUCAAGAUCAAACACUGAGGAUUGUUUGGCUUGAUGCAAUGACCUUAAACAGUGAAAUGAUUUUCCAGGAAGGUCUAUACACAAAAAGCUGGAUUUUAUGGGGUGAUGAAAGAACUAUGAAUAUGUAAAUGGGAAUGAAACAGAAGGAAUUAAUAUGUUCUACUGAUCAUCCAGCUGAAAUCAUGCCUGUGGAAUAGAGUGCAUGUCACAAAUACUGAUAUGAGCAAAUAACUCCAUAUUGCACAAAUAAUGUCAUGUUUUCUGCCCUCAUGACCUGAAAAAGUUAAAAAUUCUAGUUCAGAUUACAAAAAGUAGAACUUAGUCAACUGUGAGAAAUAUUGGGUAAAAGUAGUGUUUUGAUGUCAUGACAGCUGUGAAGUUGUAUGAGAAGCACUAUCCUAAUACAGAAUUUAACUUAUAAAUUUUCCAAAACUGCAUGCAUGAAAUACUAAGACAUGUCUGUUGGAUGAAUCCUAGUUGUUUCAAAACUAAAAAUGUGUGACAUUAAAGCACAACCUUUGGAGGAAACAUUUUUACAAUCCAAACUGCCUUGCCAGUGUGAGUGUAGGAAGGAUUUUUCCAGAAAUGGCAGAAAACUACUAAUAUAGCAGAAAAUAUUUGUUACUGGCUGAAUAUAAUAUAUCUCAUUUCAAGAAUUAAUCAUGUUAAUCCAUGGUUAUAAUUGUGUUAAAAGAUAUUUUUACAUGACCUUUGCAGAAAUAGCUAAUUGUUUUGCAAAACAUUGUGAGUUGCCAUGGUAACACAAAUUUGACUUAAAUUUAGAUUUUUUUUAUUAUGUAAACAGCAUGUGUAUAUAUAUUCUGCUAAUCAGACUAUGUUCUGCAAGAAAAUAUCUUUUAUUUGUAACCAUCAACAAAACAUGUUAUAACACAAAUCUGCCAUAAAAUGGCAGAGCUGUAAUGCAGGUAGGAAUAUCAGGAAAAUAUGUAGUUCUGGAAGACAAGUUAUAUUACAUAAAAUGAUAUUUGCUUUUUAUAAAUGAUCAUAAUUGACCAUUUGUGGUGUAAAACAAAUACAUCAUUUUUCAUCAUUUCGUCCAUACGUCCCUUCUCAUAACUCGAAUUUCGGUUAUCUCGAAAUAAAAAGCACGGUCCCUUGAAAUUCGAGAUACCGAGUUUCGACUGUAUAUACUGAACAGAUGCUAAAUGAAUGUGCUGAUUCUUUCUGGAAAAUUAACAAAAAACUACUAUUUUAAGAAAAUAGUGCACUGUUGCCAUGGUAACAUUAAUUUAACUUUUAAACUAUUUUGGAUAUCAUCAUAUGUAAACAACAUCUUUCUUGUUUAUAUGUUAUAUAUGUUAAGCUGUAUUAUGUUAGUGAAUAUAUUUUCAUAUGUAAUAAUUGCAUCUACAAAGCACUAUGUUAUUACACAAGCCUGCUUUAAAAUGGCAAUAGUUGUAACUGAGAGAGGUGUAUCUGAAAAUUAUGUAUUUCUCAAACCAUAUUACAUUAAUUUUCAGGAAUGAUGUCUACUCUCUUACUU
Molecule: long non-coding RNA, 1613 nt
Organism: Mercenaria mercenaria
Lineage: Eukaryota; Metazoa; Mollusca; Bivalvia; Venerida; Veneridae
Exons: 3
Source: RefSeq, a predicted model, not a curated record